RNAcentral lists this ribosomal RNA (310 nucleotides) under uncultured eukaryote. RNAcentral's name for it is "partial 18S ribosomal RNA". It matches the Rfam family "Eukaryotic small subunit ribosomal RNA", at positions 1470 to 1796 of the family's 1831-position model. The record is from RNAcentral.
CCCUUAGAUGUUCGGGGCCGCACGCGCGCUACACUGAAGGAAUCAGCACGUCUUUCUCCUUGUCCGAAAGGACUGGGUAACCCGCUGAACCUCCUUCGUGCUAGGGAUUGGGGCUUGUAAUUCUUCCCCAUGAACGAGGAAUUCCCAGUAAGCGCGAGUCAUAAGCUCGCGUUGAUUACGUCCCUGCCCUUUGUACACACCGCCCGUCGCUACUACCGAUUGGAUGGUUUAGUGAGGCCUUCGGAUCCGCGACUCGUUUGUGGAGAAGUUGGACAAACUCAGUCAUUUAGAGGAAGUAAAAGUCGUAACA